RNAcentral lists this long non-coding RNA (294 nucleotides) under Heterocephalus glaber (naked mole-rat). RNAcentral's name for it is "lncRNA (ENSHGLG00000042229.1)". The record is from RNAcentral. Lineage: Eukaryota; Metazoa; Chordata; Mammalia; Rodentia; Bathyergidae.
CUGCCUCUUCUGCAUGGAAAUUCUCUUCAUUCCAAAGAUGGACCACAGGGUACUUCCUUCCCAGAUUCCCUGUGGUUGAUGUGGAUCCUGGGACUGCCUUGUGUAAGACCGAGGGCCUUACCAAACCCUCCGAGGAGCUGACUGCAGUGAAGAACACCUGGGAAGGAACACACCGGACAAGUUGGAGAGUAAAACAGACCUUAGUCUGAGCAUACUACUGACAAAGCUUGGCUUCAUCCACAUUGGCCAAGAAUGUCUGCAGAGCCCAGGUCUGUGUGCACCGAGCAAAACGGU